UCUCCGUUGGUGAACCAGCGGAGGGAUCAUUACCGAGUUCCAGCAGCUCCCAACCCUUGCGAACCGUACCCCAGUCUGUUCUCGUUGCUUCCGGCAGGCGGGGGGGGCCACCUGGCCCCUCCCCCUGCCGGGGGCGGCGGGCCCUCUGAGCCUUUAUAUCUCAACCACUGAAACCCGUCUGAGCAAAACAAAAAAUAAUCAAAACUUUCAACAACGGAUCUCUUGGCUCUG
This 231-nucleotide unclassified non-coding RNA is filed under the name plant metagenome. Its description in RNAcentral is "partial contains small subunit ribosomal RNA, internal transcribed spacer 1, and 5.8S ribosomal RNA". The record is from RNAcentral.